RNAcentral lists this ribosomal RNA (834 nucleotides) under Triticum aestivum (bread wheat). Its description in RNAcentral is "partial small subunit ribosomal RNA". Lineage: Eukaryota; Viridiplantae; Streptophyta; Magnoliopsida; Poales; Poaceae. The record is from RNAcentral.
AUGAGGGCCAAGUGGAAGAAGAAGAGGAUGAGGAGGCUCAAGAGGAAGCGCCGAAAGAUGAGGCAGCGAUCCAACCCCUCUCUCUCCCCUCUCCUCUCCUUUCUCUCUAUUUCUCUAUUCUUUCUCCUCUCUCCUCUCCUUUUUCCUUCCGCCACCUACCACCCACCAUCACGGCCUCCUCCUCGCCGCCGCACGCCAGGGGGCGCGCCUCCGCAGCCUCCCCUCGCCCUCCCCUCGCCGUCCACCGCGGCCCCGCUCCCACCGGUGGCCGCCUUCCCUGCUGCGGCCUCCUCUCGCCCUCCCCUCGCCGAUCGACUCGCCGCCCCCACCGCCCACUCCUCCUCCGCGGCGCAGCACCAGGGGCCGGUGCUCUCGCUGGCGUUCCUCUCCAAGCUGCUCGACGCCGUGGACGCCCUCGCCAGGCCCCCCGCCGACCGCCUCGCCGCCGACCUACUCGACCGCUCCGUCAAGGCACUCGACGUGCUCAACGCGGUCUUCCUCGCGCUCGCCUCACUCCGGAGCUCCCACCGCGUCGCGCUCACCGCCGCGUCCUGCUUCCUCGCCGCCGACGCGCCGCUGCUGCACCGCCGAGGAGGCCUGGGACGCGCCGGGGAGGAAGCGGAAGGGCCCGGAGCUGGACGUCGCGAGGAGCAUCGAGCUGCUGGCGAGCUCGUUCCUGAAGAUCGAGCGGAGACCAUGGCCAAGACGCAGCUGCAGAUCGCCAGGCUCUUCGCCAAGCGGCUCAAGGAGUGCGUCGGCGGUAAUGGUGGCAGCCCGUGGAGCUGCCCUCCUCCCUCGACGUGUUGCAGGAGCUCGGGGCGAGGCCGGGGCUAG